RNAcentral lists this small RNA (575 nucleotides) under Pongo abelii (Sumatran orangutan). Its description in RNAcentral is "retained intron". Lineage: Eukaryota; Metazoa; Chordata; Mammalia; Primates; Hominidae. The record is from RNAcentral.
AGUUGCUGUUAUUGUGACUGUCGGGCCACGGCCCCGGAUGUUGUGGCUGCCGGGGGGAGAUGGCGGAGGCCGAAGGGGUGCCCACGACCCCAGGCCCGGCUUCGGGGUCGACUUUCAGGGGCCGCCGAGAUGUGUCAGGCUCCUGGGAGCGGGACCAGCAGGUUGAGGCGGCGCAGCGGGCCCUGGUGGAGGUGCUGGGGCCUUACGAGCCUCUGCUGAGUCGGUUGCAGGCAGCCCUGGUGUGGGAGCGGCCAGCCAGGAGCGCUCUGUGGUGCCUGGGGCUGAACGCGGCUUUCUGGUUUUUUGCCCUGACAUCCCUUCGUCUUGUGUUUUUACUUGCAUUUGGCUUGAUGAUCAUUGUGUGUAUUGAUCAAUGGAAAAACAAAAUCUGGCCUGAAAUAAAAGUGCCAAGACCCGACGCAUUAGACAAUGAGAGGUAUGGAACACUAAUUAAAUCCCUUUUUGUUGCUCUGAUUCAUUCUCUUGUAAUAUUCUGGUUACGUGUUGUUAACCCCGUGUUCUGGACACACAGUGUAAGCUGGGAACCUAGGCUGUUCCAAAUGAUCAUUUUAACA